UACGGAGGAUGCAAGCGUUAUCCGGAUUUAUUGGGUUUAAAGGGUGCGCAGGUUGUUUGAUAAGUCAGUGAUGAAAGUCUGUCGCUUAACGGUAGGAUUGCCAUUGAUACUGUUAGACUUGAAUAUGGAUGAGGUAGGCAGAAUGUGUAGUGUAGCGGUGAAAUGCAUAGAUAUUACACAGAACACCGAUUGCGAAGGCAGCUUACUAAUCCAUCAUUGACGCUGAGGCACGAAAGCGUGGGGAUCAAA
RNAcentral lists this ribosomal RNA (249 nucleotides) under uncultured prokaryote. RNAcentral describes it as "partial 16S ribosomal RNA". It matches the Rfam family "Bacterial small subunit ribosomal RNA", at positions 524 to 772 of the family's 1533-position model. The record is from RNAcentral.